This 635-nucleotide ribosomal RNA is filed under the name uncultured Marinobacter sp. RNAcentral's name for it is "bacterial SSU rRNA". It matches the Rfam family "Bacterial small subunit ribosomal RNA", at positions 870 to 1504 of the family's 1533-position model. Lineage: Bacteria; Pseudomonadati; Pseudomonadota; Gammaproteobacteria; Pseudomonadales; Marinobacteraceae. The record is from RNAcentral.
CGCCUGGGGAGUACGGCCGCAAGGUUAAAACUCAAAUGAAUUGACGGGGGCCCGCACAAGCGGUGGAGCAUGUGGUUUAAUUCGACGCAACGCGAAGAACCUUACCUGGCCUUGACAUCCAGAGAGCUUUCCAGAGAUGGAUUGGUGCCUUCGGGAACUCUGAGACAGGUGCUGCAUGGCCGUCGUCAGCUCGUGUCGUGAGAUGUUGGGUUAAGUCCCGUAACGAGCGCAACCCCUAUCCCUGGUUGCUAGCAGGUAAUGCUGAGAACUCCAGGGAGACUGCCGGUGACAAACCGGAGGAAGGUGGGGAUGACGUCAGGUCAUCAUGGCCCUUACGGCCAGGGCUACACACGUGCUACAAUGGCGCGUACAGAGGGCUGCCAACUCGCGAGAGUGAGCCAAUCCCUUAAAACGCGUCGUAGUCCGGAUCGGAGUCUGCAACCCGACUCCGUGAAGUCGGAAUCGCUAGUAAUCGCGAAUCAGAAUGUCGCGGUGAAUACGUUCCCGGGCCUUGUACACACCGCCCGUCACACCAUGGGAGUGGAUUGCACCAGAAGUAGUUAGUCUAACCUUCGGGAGGACGAUUACCACGGUGUGGUUCAUGACUGGGGUGAAGUCGUAACAAGGUAACCGUA